GUCGAGCUUUCCGAAUGAGUCUUAUUUCUUCAAUUUGAAUCUUUUCUUCAAAAACUUCUGCGAUCAACUCUUCAAGACUCCAACCAACUUUACGAAAUUCGCCAACCUAUAAAAUCCUUAACAAUCUCCCCCUUUGGCGAUUUCGUGACAAAAUAUACUAUAAAGUCGUACACAACUCAGAAACAAUAAAAAAAAGAUCAUCGCAAUCACCAAACGACAAUCUCCUGCAUGAUCAAUCUAAUAAACGAAAAUUACAAUUUUCAUAAUCUUAAUACAAACUCUAUGACUUAGACAUGGAGUCUUGAAGUUUUGAAUUAUUCCUGCAAAAAUAUUCUCAAAACAUAAUCAAGAUUCAAGUAUCAAGAUCAAACAAAGUAUCAAGUCAUAGUUCAUAGUCAUAGUUCAUAAUCAAACACUUAAAGCACCCACUAAACAAAGUUCAUCUAAACAAAAUGCUGCAUCAAAGCGAUCAAAAGCAUCAUCAUCAAAACGAAAAUGCAACAUCAUCAUCAUCUAGAACCACC
Molecule: long non-coding RNA, 524 nt
Filed under: Ananas comosus (pineapple)
Lineage: Eukaryota; Viridiplantae; Streptophyta; Magnoliopsida; Poales; Bromeliaceae
Description: long non-coding RNA (ACOM_LNC041898)
Source: RNAcentral